ACAUAACGGAGCCCGCACACAAGCUUCCGAAAUCGCGGUCUAGUCUAGGGAGGACAUGAUUUCCGGCGCGCCUUUGGCUGCAGCCCCGGCGAACAAGCCGGCAGGAAAUCGAGACCUGCACAUCCUGGAAAUGCAAGGCUUCGGCCUUGCAUUUUUUU
The sequence is a small RNA, 158 nucleotides long. It matches the Rfam family "Alphaproteobacterial sRNA ar9".